This 936-nucleotide ribosomal RNA is filed under the name uncultured Bacteroidota bacterium. RNAcentral describes it as "bacterial SSU rRNA". It matches the Rfam family "Bacterial small subunit ribosomal RNA", at positions 9 to 945 of the family's 1533-position model. The record is from RNAcentral. Lineage: Bacteria; Pseudomonadati; Bacteroidota.
GAGUUUGAUCAUGGCUCAGGAUGAACGCUACCGGCAGGCUUAACACAUGCAAGUCGAACGGUAAGGCCCUGCUUGCAGGGUACACGAGUGGCGCACGGGUGCGUAACGCGUAUGCAACCUACCUUUUACUGAGGGAUAGCCCCGAGAAAUUGGGAUUAAUACCUCAUAAUAUCAUAAAACAGCAUUGUUUAAUGAUUAAAACUCCGGUGGUAAAAGAUGGGCAUGCGUGACAUUAGUUUGUUGGUGAGGUAACGGCUCACCAAGACUACGAUGUCUAGGGGUUCUGAGAGGAUUAUCCCCCACACUGGUACUGAGACACGGACCAGACUCCUACGGGAGGCAGCAGUGAGGAAUAUUGGGCAAUGGACGAAAGUCUGACCCAGCCAUGCUGCGUGCAGGAUGACGGCCCUAUGGGUUGUAAACUGCUUUUAUAUGGGAAGAAACCCAAGGACGUGUCCUUGGCUGACGGUACCAUACGAAUAAGGAUCGGCUAACUCCGUGCCAGCAGCCGCGGUAAUACGGAGGAUCCAAGCGUUAUCCGGAUUUAUUGGGUUUAAAGGGUGCGCAGGCGGCCUUAUAAGUCAGUGGUGAAAUCUCCCGGCUCAACCGGGAAACUGCCAUUGAUACUGUAAGGCUAGAAUACAGACGAGGUAGGCGGAAUGUAGCAUGUAGCGGUGAAAUGCUUAGAUAUGCUACAGAACACCGAUCGCGAAGGCAGCUUACCAGACUGUAAUUGACGCUAAGGCACGAAAGCGUGGGGAGCGAACAGGAUUAGAUACCCUGGUAGUCCACGCCGUAAACGAUGAUUACUCGAUGUUGGUGAUACACUAUCAGCGUCCAAGCGAAAGCGUUAAGUAAUCCACCUGGGGAGUACGAUCGCAAGGUUGAAACUCAAAGGAAUUGACGGGGGCCCGCACAAGCGGAGGAGCAUGUGGU